AGAGUUUGAUCAUGGCUCAGAUUGAACGCUGGCGGCAGGCCUAACACAUGCAAGUCGAACGGUAACAGGAAGCAGCUUGCUGCUUCGCUGACGAGUGGCGGACGGGUGAGUAAUGUCUGGGAAGCUGCCUGAUGGAGGGGGAUAACUACUGGAAACGGUAGCUAAUACCGCAUAAUGUCGCAAGACCAAAGAGGGGGACCUUCGGGCCUCUUGCCAUCGGAUGUGCCCAGAUGGGAUUAGCUUGUUGGUGGGGUAACGGCUCACCAAGGCGACGAUCCCUAGCUGGUCUGAGAGGAUGACCAGCCACACUGGAACUGAGACACGGUCCAGACUCCUACGGGAGGCAGCAGUGGGGAAUAUUGCACAAUGGGCGCAAGCCUGAUGCAGCCAUGCCGCGUGUAUGAAGAAGGCCUUCGGGUUGUAAAGUACUUUCAGCGGGGAGGAAGGGAGUAAAGUUAAUACCUUUGCUCAUUGACGUUACCCGCAGAAGAAGCACCGGCUAACUCCGUGCCAGCAGCCGCGGUAAUACGGAGGGUGCAAGCGUUAAUCGGAAUUACUGGGCGUAAAGCGCACGCAGGCGGUUUGUUAAGUCAGAUGUGAAAUCCCCGGGCUCAACCUGGGAACUGCAUCUGAUACUGGCAAGCUUGAGUCUCGUAGAGGGGGGUAGAAUUCCAGGUGUAGCGGUGAAAUGCGUAGAGAUCUGGAGGAAUACCGGUGGCGAAGGCGGCCCCCUGGACGAAGACUGACGCUCAGGUGCGAAAGCGUGGGGAGCAAACAGGAUUAGAUACCCUGGUAGUCCACGCCGUAAACGAUGUCGACUUGGAGGUUGUGCCCUUGAGGCGUGGCUUCCGGAGCUAACGCGUUAAGUCGACCGCCUGGGGAGUACGGCCGCAAGGUUAAAACUCAAAUGAAUUGACGGGGGCCCGCACAAGCGGUGGAGCAUGUGGUUUAAUUCGAUGCAACGCGAAGAACCUUACCUGGUCUUGACAUCCACGGAAGUUUUCAUAGAUGAGAAUGUGCCUUCGGGAACCGUGAGACAGGUGCUGCAUGGCUGUCGUCAGCUCGUGUUGUGAAAUGUUGGGUUAAGUCCCGCAACGAGCGCAACCCUUAUCCUUUGUUGCCAGCGGUCCGGCCGGGAACUCAAAGGAGACUGCCAGUGAUAAACUGGAGGAAGGUGGGGAUGACGUCAAGUCAUCAUGGCCCUUACGACCAGGGCUACACACGUGCUACAAUGGCGCAUACAAAGAGAAGCGACCUCGCGAGAGCAAGCGGACCUCAUAAAGUGCGUCGUAGUCCGGAUUGGAGUCUGCAACUCGACUCCAUGAAGUCGGAAUCGCUAGUAAUCGUGGAUCAGAAUGCCACGGUGAAUACGUUCCCGGGCCUUGUACACACCGCCCGUCACACCAUGGGAGUGGGUUGCAAAAGAAGUAGGUAGCUUAACCUUCGGGAGGGCGCUUACCACUUUGUGAUUCAUGACUGGGGUGAAGUCGUAACAAGGUAACCGUAGGGGAACCUGCGGUUG
Molecule: ribosomal RNA, 1522 nt
Filed under: metagenome
Description: bacterial SSU rRNA
Rfam family: Bacterial small subunit ribosomal RNA
Source: RNAcentral